ACUAGUCUGGGAGUACCACUUGGAAACAAGGUGCUAAUACCGGAUAAGAAAGCGGAUCGCAUGAUCAGCUUUUAAAAGGUGGCGUAAGCUGUCGCUAUGGGAUGGCCCCGCGGUGCAUUAGCUAGUUGGUAAGGUAAAGGCUUACCAAGGCGAUGAUGCAUAGCCGAGUUGAGAGACUGAUCGGCCACAUUGGGACUGAGACACGGCCCAAACUCCUACGGGAGGCAGCAGGC
Molecule: ribosomal RNA, 233 nt
Filed under: uncultured Lactobacillus sp.
Lineage: Bacteria; Bacillati; Bacillota; Bacilli; Lactobacillales; Lactobacillaceae
Description: partial 16S ribosomal RNA
Rfam family: Bacterial small subunit ribosomal RNA
Source: RNAcentral